CAAAGUCAGAAAAAAAGAGAUCACACAAGGAAUCAAGCAUAGACAUGUAGUUCGCCCAAAUAAAACCUUUAGAAUGGUAAGCCGCAAAAGAGGCAAUUCAAUCCGCACUCUUCCUUCAUCCGAGACGCUGCAUGGGAGGCUGGAUGAGCUCGACCACUGUGCGCAUGCUUGAAUGCAAGCAGAUGCUCUCUGGCCUCUAAGGGUGCUGGAGGAGAAGCAGCGGCAACCUGAGAGCUAAGGGUCCUCCAGAGCCUGGCCAUCACCAGUGCAAAGUCCUUUGCCUUCGGCCCUGGCUGACCUUCGUCUCAAGGUUUCUCUCAUGGAUCGCCUCCACUUACUGAAGACCAGGAUUCGGCAGGUAAUUGUCUCAAGUCCCUGACCUACAAAUCCUGUCCUCUUGGAAAAGCAGGAGCAACACCAAACAGACUGAAACCUUUUAUCCCCAAUGGUGCUGUGGAGAAGAGAGUGCCAGGUGCCGGAAUGAGAAGCAGAGGCUGGAACGCACCCGGCUUCACAGGAGAUGGUUUCCGGUUGGAUUCUGAAGGAUGCUUCCAUCCUCCUCUUUAGUUUUCUCAAAUUCCCUGAUGUAUGUCUACCUACAAAGAUUGCUAUUCAAAGUUGCAUGGUUCAAUAUUGCUAGUGUUAUGGGUACAAUUCUGUUCCUAUGCAAAUGGUACAUUAAGCUUUCUCUAGAGGAAUUCGGUAGCAAUGGUCUUGAAAUGUUUUCUUGAUCCAGUCGGCACAAAUCAACUUACUUCCUCAUGCUUCCAUUUCUUGAUCUAAGCAACAAUAUUCUGCAUCACCUAAGGUUAUUACACAUGCAAAAUCACAGCAGUGGGAGACAACAAAACCAAUGUGGCUUCAACAAUCAAUAUCUGAAUGAACUGAGAACACCAAACAGACUAAUAUUACAUACCACAUUGCCUAGCAAUUAAAUCCAUAUAUAAAAUCAAUCAACAGCUAGAACCAAUCAAGAUAAGAUAUGGCUAAAUUAUAGAAUUGGAGCAAAAUUACAGAAAGCAAAAGAUCACGAUGCUGAUAUGUGCAGAUCAUCCAGUGCAUUGCAAUUUGGGUUUAGUAAAAUUAAAGUAACAAAUAGACUCGACUUAAGAUUAAAUGGGUGAAAAAGGAAAAAGAAAACCAGGCUCAAAUAUAAGCAAAAUAAGAGAAGAAAAAA
Phoenix dactylifera (date palm) is the source of this 1177-nucleotide non-coding RNA. The record is from RefSeq and is a predicted model, not a curated record. NCBI's taxonomy places the organism in Eukaryota, Viridiplantae, Streptophyta, Magnoliopsida, Arecales, Arecaceae.